AGUGAACGCUGGCGGUAGGCCUAACACAUGCAAGUCGAACGGCAGCACAGUAAGAGCUUGCUCUUACGGGUGGCGAGUGGCGGACGGGUGAGGAAUACAUCGGAAUCUACUUUUUCGUGGGGGAUAACGUAGGGAAACUUACGCUAAUACCGCAUACGACCUACGGGUGAAAGCAGGGGAUCUUCGGACCUUGCGCGAUUGAAUGAGCCGAUGUCGGAUUAGCUAGUUGGCGGGGUAAAGGCCCACCAAGGCGACGAUCCGUAGCUGGUCUGAGAGGAUGAUCAGCCACACUGGAACUGAGACACGGUCCAGACUCCUACGGCAGGCAGCAGUGGGGAAUAUUGGACAAUGGGCGCAAGCCUGAUCCAGCCAUACCGCGUGGGUGAAGAAGGCCUUCGGGUUGUAAAGCCCUUUUGUUGGGAAAGAAAAGCAGCAGGUUAAUACCCCGCUGUUCUGACGGUACCCAAAGAAUAAGCACCGGCUAACUUCGUG
Molecule: ribosomal RNA, 492 nt
Filed under: uncultured bacterium
Lineage: Bacteria
Description: partial 16S ribosomal RNA
Rfam family: Bacterial small subunit ribosomal RNA
Source: RNAcentral